Long non-coding RNA from Pongo pygmaeus (Bornean orangutan), 1130 nucleotides. RefSeq lists it as uncharacterized. The record is from RefSeq and is a predicted model, not a curated record. The transcript is spliced from 3 exons. Lineage: Eukaryota; Metazoa; Chordata; Mammalia; Primates; Hominidae.
CACCAGGCCCUGUUCCCACAGUGAGGAACCAAGGAAGCGAUGUUACAACAGAGUGGGAGGAAAGCCAGGCAAAACCAAGCAGAAAAUCAAGGGAAAGAAAGGAAGACAUCUGACCUGCGAGGUAUCAUGGGGAUGAAGGAGGACACCCCGUCCCACACGGAAGGAGCAACAGACACGGAGCACAGCAGAGGAAUGAACGGUGGCACGCCAAGAAAGCUCUAGAAGUUUUGCUCAACAGUGACCACUAAUUCUCAUAAUAUACAAAGUGUAGUUUUUCUGAACAGUGACACAAGCAGCAAGCUAAUAACAUCAAUCAUGUGAUCAUGACUUUGCACUGGAGAUAACUGUCCUUGAACCAAGAACAAAGAAAAACCCCUGAAGCAAAUUUCUCUUUUAAACUAAAAAGAUGCUAAUUUAUGUAACUCCCACAAUAAGCUGACAUUAACUGCUUAAAUGAAUGAGAUUUUACUUCAAUUUUUAAACAGCACUCAAAGCAAUUACCUUUCUCACUGCUUUCAAUUUACUACGUUUUUUAAUGCGUAUAAUGUAUACAGUCCCGCGUGUCAUUUAAGUUAAAAUGUAGAAUUUUGAUGCAGCUGCUGGGAUGAGUAUGCAAAGAGGAGAUUCAAUGAAGAGCCUGACGUGGGAGCUGAGGCCUCGGGCUCCAUGCAUGCCACAGCCUGUCCAACCUCAGCCAGGCAGAACCAAAAAAGUACACUCUUGUCACAAAACUGAGUGCACGGCUUACAGAGGUGAAUGGAUAAACAAAUGGCACACCCCACCUGGGAAUACUACACAGCACUGAAAAGUAAUGGACAAGUGAUUCACUCAAUAGCAUGGAUGAAUUUCAAAAUCCUUAUGCUGAGGGAAAGAAGCCGGGGAGAGGGGAAAAUGUAGCAUAGGGCUCCACUUAUAUAAAAUUCUAGAAAAUUCAGACUAGUCCAUAAUGCCAGAAAACAGAUCCAUGGUUUUGUGUUUGCGUACGGGAAGAUUACAGCAAUACACACAAAAACCUUUCGGGGAGAUGACUGUGGUGAUAGUUUCAUGGGUAUUUACAGAUGUUGAAACUGAUCAAAUUGUACACUUUAAACAAUGACUGUAUUUCAAUUGUACCUCAAUAAAGUUGCUUU